RNAcentral lists this long non-coding RNA (1014 nucleotides) under Macaca mulatta (Rhesus monkey). RNAcentral describes it as "lncRNA (ENSMMUG00000051799.1)". The record is from RNAcentral. Lineage: Eukaryota; Metazoa; Chordata; Mammalia; Primates; Cercopithecidae.
CCUCCAGGUGACUGGCCAAUCAAGAGGCCCGUAGACCAGGUCGCCCGCAGAGCAGCUAUGCAGAGCCGUCAUGCCGUCAUUUCCUGCAUCACUUCCCACCUACCUUCCCUCUGGCUUCACAGAGUCUGUUUACAAGGAGAAGUGAAUGCCGUAUUCUGCUUGGCCUGCAGGCAGCCCAGGACACCAGCGGGGCUCCCUAGCAGCCCUUCUCGAGGGGGAGCUGCUGGCAUUUGGUCAGGACGUGUCUUCAUUGCGCGGGUCUCUUCCGUGAGCUGCAGAGCAUGUGCUGUUGCUGGUGAAUGCUCUUUCCUGAGGACCAACGGGUCAGCCAGAAACACCUUCACACGUUUCAGAUGCCCUCAGGAGGGUAUCAGACCCUGGCUGAGAACGUCGUGUUUACUGCAUUCCUGGAUACAGGGGCUCGAGCCCCAGUUAAUGUUUAACUCACAGAGAAGCUGGAACCCUGGUGAAGGCGUCUUUGUUUGGGCACCGAUGCAGGAUGGAAUGUUGGCGCAGGUCCUCUGGUUGAGCCGCCUGUCCUGCUUUGGCUUGGGGCCCACACGUAAUUCCCUUCACUGUAUCCAUUGGUUCAGCAUCCAGCGUCCACAGGUGUGGUUCUGGGGUGGGGCUGAGCUCACUGUGUGUUCCCUGGAGGUCCAGGGCCAUGUUUUGUUCCUCUGCAGUUCCUCCAGGACCAAGGAUCCGGAGCUCCCUUUGCCCUCAGAACAGAAGGUUAGCCACCAACUCUACCUCCGCCCUAUGCCCUGGGGAGUGGAGCCCCCGUUGUUGGUGGGAUCUCCCCCAGAACCUCCUGCUCUAGGUUGGUCACACAAUAAUGAACCGAGUAAGGACUUGAGCCCAGCUCUCUUCAACUCAAAUUAUGCUCUCAAUCUACUACACCACAGGGUGGGACAACACAGAGCGAGACUCUAUCUCAAAAAUAAUAAUAAUAAUAAUAAUUGUAUUAGAUUAUCUCCCCACCUGAGCCCCCUCAGCCUCAUGACAGCUUGGUGA